AGAUAAACGCCCAUAUGAGUCAAACAUUACCAGACUGUAGUCAAGAAAGUAUUGUCAAUCCCUGAUUGAAGUGUAGCUGCAGUUGCGUAGACAGAACGAUCUACAAUCAGAAAGUGAUUCAAAAGACUCUCAGCUAAGUGCUACAUAAUGAGCAACUCGUACUCCUCAACCAAACGAUAAUGAAAGAGAGGCACCUGACUCAAGCAAUGGAUGUCGGAGCAGAAGACUAGAAGGCAAAGCAAGUACAUGCUACCUGUCUGGGCAAGACCUUUCAGUGCCUUUCCAUAUUUCAAUGGGUAGUCAUCUGCACACCUUCCAGUCUUUUCUUCUGUAUUGCAAAGGCUAGAAGCCUUGGUACUAUAUUUAUCAAACUUACUUUUUUUUUUUUUAACAAAUCUUCAAUGUGAUUCUCAUUUUGCUAAGAUACAUUUGUAUGAAAUUUUGAGAUAGAAAAGUAUGAAUAAGAAAGCAUUGCCUUCUUUCUCAGUGGCAGCACACAAACAUAUGGACUUCACAGACACGACAUUUUGCAGCAACUUCUAGAUCUUCCCCCUGUGAGUGCCCUGGGACAUCAUUACAAUAAAUAAACCAUUCAGGAAGUCAAAGGAUGGUAGUUUUCACAGAAGCAUUGCAAGCAUUGAGAAGAAAAAUAAUCCAUAUCUAGUAGGUUUAUUUUUAUGAGGAUAAAUCUCUGGCCUCUCCAUAUGGAAAAGGAUCUCCUGUAAGUUAAUCCUGCCAUCAGGUUGCUGGCUGGUUUGCCUGGGAUAUAAAGCCCUAUUAGUGAGCCAGUGGUGACCUUUGCUGCUGUCUGGUUAGAUGCGCAGCAGCACUGCAGUCACCCUUUCUGAGGGAAAGUUCACGUUUUGAAGCCUAGGUAGAAAUUCUCUCUGUACCACCAUGGUUUCACUGAAUGUGAGUCAAUUGAGGCAUCACCAGGGUGGCAAAAAGUUAUCAAGUCAAGCCCAGUCAACUCAGAAAAUUCAUCUCAGAAUUCCAUUUUACGUCAAUUUCCUGGCAUAAUGUUGAAACACUCUGCCCUUUAGUAUCUGGAACAAUGUCUAACACAAUAAUGCUUAACGCCGGGGAAAUGAGGGCAUAGGUCUGAAUCUCCGGAGAUUCCUUUUAUGGGGAAUAUCUUUUAACACCCCUUAGGAAACAACAUCAACUCACUAAAGACAGUACCAAUAAGGUCUCCUGCCUUCCCCAGGAAUAAAGAUUUAAAUCACACCAGCUCAAUGCUGGUUGAGGGCAAGGGAACAAUGAAUGGCUUGUGGAAGGGGAAAGUUAAAAAUGCAAAUUACAACUUUGUGCCCCAUUUAAGGAAAGAGAACUUGAAUAGCUAUGCAUAUUUGUGUUUUCUUCCUUGCUUUGUUAUGUACAUAUUUGUAUAUAUCAGCCACUAACUUCUUAUCUUUCCUUCAUUCUUCACUUACUAAUUUACAUAAGGUACUGGUAGUUCAUAUAAAUUCAUUUUUAGAGACUAAAUAUAAAAGCAGAAUUGCAACUGAACUUAAGCAAGAAUCAUUAUCACCCAGGGCUAGAUUUGGUGACUAAUAGAAGUUUGGAUCUCUAUUUUUAGAGGAGGGAUUGAGAAAAUUUUUGUAUGGGGAAUAAUUCUAUUCUAUUAGCAAGAAUCGUGUUGUUUUUUGCCAUUGCUGCUAAUUAAAAUUUUAAAUAUUGUCAAAAGUGGUAUAUAUUAUGCUCGAUUUUUUCCUUUUGGCACCCAGUAUAUGUUC
RNAcentral lists this long non-coding RNA (1736 nucleotides) under Homo sapiens (human). RNAcentral describes it as "HSALNT0322316". Lineage: Eukaryota; Metazoa; Chordata; Mammalia; Primates; Hominidae. The record is from RNAcentral.